Molecule: non-coding RNA, 236 nt
Filed under: Eutrema salsugineum
Lineage: Eukaryota; Viridiplantae; Streptophyta; Magnoliopsida; Brassicales; Brassicaceae
Description: TeloSII non coding RNA 30
Rfam family: TeloSII non coding RNA 30
About the family: Located downstream of the TeloSII elements. These elements have been shown to coordinate the expression of protein-coding gene related to ribosome biogenesis throughout the cell cycle in Arabidopsis.
Source: Rfam by way of RNAcentral
UCCACCCUACAAGCCUCGAAUUUACUUCUUCUUCCUCAUCCAUGCUUCUCACAUCUUCAUCCUCAUCUUCUUCCCGCCAUUACACGCAACAGAAAUCUUCUAGACCAACAACACUCGACGCGACGACGACACUAUCAAGAUCUCACCUCCUCACGAAGAUCCUCAAGUUUCUAGAGUUAUGAUCGAUUUGUUCUAGACUUAUUAUGAUUUUGUGUAAUUUUUGCCCUUUUUCCCCA